UGUAGCUAAACUGUGCCGGCAAGGUACCGAUUUCCCUGUACCAGCACGAAAUCGUUACACAAUCGGUACCGAGAAAUGGGGCACAUCGGUACAAAAUCUGCACUGGCAAUGUGCUAGUAGGGUCCGCUGGCGACAGAACAGUUUUAUCAACAGGUCCUACUAAAAUGCUGGGAGCUGGAUCCUGGAGACAGGCCAGAAUUUCGCGAAAUCCAUUCUUUGCUUAAUCAGACGGAGUAACGAAUUGACGACAGGAUCCUUCCUGUGAAGUCUGGAACACAUUGUUAGAUACGUUGAUACUGACAUAAAUAUGUAUAAUUACUUGAGUUUGUCAUUCACAAUUACUAAUUACUUAAUUUUGGAUGUCUGACGAGAGAAAGCAAUUACUUCCGUCAAAAGUAAUUAAUUACUUACAUAAUUACAAAUUAAUUACAUUUUUAUAUAGCCAUGAAGUUAUAAUGUUUGAAGUAUGGUAUCGUCAGGCAGGUAUCAAGUUCCCGAUAUGAAUGUUGCUACCACAUGGUCGUCAUGGUCUUAAAAUUAUAUCGGUCGGCCGGUAAAUUUUUACCGAUCAGUAUAAAGUUGCUACCGAUAUGGUAAAACUUUAAUUUCGAGCUAUUCCUACACUGCAUUACAUACUUACCAGUACCACUUCACAGUCAUAGUCACAUACAUAUGAAUGCAGUUUGAUAUUCUUUUAAUACUCUAUUUCUCAGAGCAAAAUUUACGCUGCGUAAAUGUAUGUACUAAAGAACUGCCUAAUCCAAAGUAUUAACAGAAAAUGAAUAAUUGACACCGGGAUAAUAAUUGGCUAUAAUCUUCACGAUCGUAAGAAAAUUAGUAUUAAAUGCCUGCUAUUAUCUAAAAUUAUACUAAUGGCCUGUAUUUGUAAGUUUUUAGUGAUUCGAUAUGAACAUUUAACCACCUAGUUAGACAAACAUAAAUAUGUCAUACCAAACAAAUAAGCGAACUUUGCAAGUUUAUCACUAAGAAAAUUAAUCCGAUGAUAUUUAUAAGACUAAACUAAAUAAGACACUGCAAAUAUUAUGCAGUACUCCAGGUUUGAACAUUUUUGAUGUCUAUAACAGUUCCGUACACUUCAUAGGAAUUUUUUUUCGUUUUCAGUUUACAUUUAUGUACCCACUAAAAUGCUAUCAAUAGGUUAAUCGUGUAAUACACAAUAUUCCAUGCAAUGGCUAACAUCAACGACUUACUCGCAGUCCCGAAAGGACCAAUUCUAAUUCCAACCUUAUUCAAUGAGUAAAGCAAUCUUCUUUCAUAUUUCAAGAAACAUUUCCCUGUCAAACACCCGAGAAAUAUUUCGGAUUUUUCAAAGACCUGCGUCGCCUGGGGUACAAUCGUCAUCACAAAUACUAACCCAGUCAGGCUAGUAGCCGGAAAUAUUACAUACAGCAUUAAGGGGACCUUUCUUGGGAGUCUGAUUGUUAAAUAGUUCGCUAAAGUUAUGAUACUCAUGCCAAACAAAAUUAGGUGCGGGACAACUGAAUAACACAAAUUUUGGUUGUAGAUAAUAUUCCAAAGCUGCAAUUCUUUAAACACUUUGAUCACUUUGACUUGUCCGGUCCAAACAUUAUCGAGGGCUUUUCUACACCGCGCCAUUAUUUGAAUUGAUGCAGCUAACAAGAUUGCCGCCAAGGUUGCCAGAAGACCAAAGGAUUUCAGUAGUUCGCACGACACAGCAGUUAAAGUACUAACUCUGAACGCUAUUAGGAGAAAUCUGAAAGGGGACAGCUUCGAAGUUUGAAGCAGGCUUGGGACAUAGAGUGGAUCUACGUCGGACCAGACGACGAAAGGAAUGAGUGCGAAUGGGAUAAAUGGAGAUAUCUUUAUGAAGUUGAGAAGACCAAAUUCCAUGAUUUUGUUCACCGGGGCGUAGUGUCGAAUUCUUCCCAAUGCUGCAUAAUUAAAGAAACAGACUAAAUCGUAUUUGAUAGAUAUCGAUGAAGGAAUUUCUACCCACAAAAAAAAACUCUACAAAAUAUAAGCUUUCAAGCUAGGUGGGAAUUCAGCUUGAUAGGAUCAAUCAAUCUACGGUUUUUAAAUUCCAAAGUAACGAAAUAAAGCACUAAUUUAAGAAUCGAUGAUUCAUUUCAUCAAAACAGUUUGGCAAAAUCAACAAAUUAAGGUUUUAUGAGGCUAGAAAUGAGUAGAUAUUUGCUUAAUUUCAUGAUUUUGGCCGCGAAACAUCAGGUCCAAAGUUAAUUCUUCUCAACAUAUAAACUAUACUUAUAACCUCAUAACUCUCUACAUAUAUUUAGAAAAAACAUUUCACCUCAAUUUCAGAGUCACUAAAAUGUAAAUAUUGGUAGAAAACUUUAAUAAAAAUAAUUUUAAUCA
This is a long non-coding RNA of Folsomia candida, 2355 nucleotides long. RefSeq lists it as uncharacterized. Lineage: Eukaryota; Metazoa; Arthropoda; Collembola; Entomobryomorpha; Isotomidae. The transcript is spliced from 2 exons. The record is from RefSeq and is a predicted model, not a curated record.